This 772-nucleotide ribosomal RNA is filed under the name Salmonella sp. Lorraine road_2007_07. Its description in RNAcentral is "bacterial SSU rRNA". It matches the Rfam family "Bacterial small subunit ribosomal RNA", at positions 27 to 790 of the family's 1533-position model. The record is from RNAcentral. Lineage: Bacteria; Pseudomonadati; Pseudomonadota; Gammaproteobacteria; Enterobacterales; Enterobacteriaceae.
GAAUGNACUCUCGAGCAGCGGCAUACACAUGCAAUCGACGGUAACAGGAAGCAGCUUGCUGCUUCGCUGACGAGUGGCGGACGGGUGAGUAAUGUCUGGGAAACUGCCUGAUGGAGGGGGAUAACUACUGGAAACGGUGGCUAAUACCGCAUAACGUCGCAAAGACCCAAAGAGGGGGACCUUCGGGCCUCUUGCCAUCAGAUGUGCCCAGAUGGGAUUAGCUUGUUGGUGAGGUAACGGCUCACCAAGGCGACGAUCCCUAGCUGGUCUGAGAGGAUGACCAGCCACACUGGAACUGAGACACGGUCCAGACUCCUACGGGAGGCAGCAGUGGGGAAUAUUGCACAAUGGGCGCAAGCCUGAUGCAGCCAUGCCGCGUGUAUGAAGAAGGCCUUCGGGUUGUAAAGUACUUUCAGCGGGGAGGAAGGUGUUGUGGUUAAUAACCGCAGCAAUUGACGUUACCCGCAGAAGAAGCACCGGCUAACUCCGUGCCAGCAGCCGCGGUAAUACGGAGGGUGCAAGCGUUAAUCGGAAUUACUGGGCGUAAAGCGCACGCAGGCGGUCUGUCAAGUCGGAUGUGAAAUCCCCGGGCUCACCUGGGGACUGCAUUCGAAACUGGCAGGCUGAGUCUGUAGAGGGGGGUAGAAUCCAGGUGUAGCGGUGAAAGCGUAGAGAUCUGGAGGAAUACCGGGUGCGAAGGCGGCCCCCUGGACAAAGACUGACGCUCAGGUCGAAAGCNUGGGAACAACAGAUNAUCUGGUUAAAAAAAAAA